This 741-nucleotide ribosomal RNA is filed under the name uncultured archaeon. RNAcentral describes it as "bacterial SSU rRNA". It matches the Rfam family "Archaeal small subunit ribosomal RNA", at positions 1 to 746 of the family's 1478-position model. The record is from RNAcentral.
UUCCGGUUGAUCCUGCCGGAGGACAUUGCUAUUGGGAUUCGAUUUAGCCAUGCUAGUCGAACGAGUUCAGACUCGUGGCGAAUAGCUCAGUAACACGUGGCCAAGCUCCCCUUCAGUCAGCGAUACCCUCGGGAAACUGAGGUUAACAGCUGAUACAAAACGCCAGCUGGAAUGCGGCGUUUCAGAAAGACAUCGCUGAAGGAUGCGGCUGCGGCCGAUUAGGUAGACGGCGGGGUAACGGCCCACCGUGUCAGUAAUCGGUACGGGUGAUGAGAGUCAGAGCCCGGAGACGGAAUCUGAGACAAGAUUCCGGGCCCUACGGGGCGCAGCAGGCGCGAAACCUUUACACUGCACGGAAGUGCGAUAGGGGAAUCCCAAGUGCGAGGGCAUAUUAGCCCUCGCUUUUCUCGACUGUAAGGUGGUCGACGAAUAAGAGCUGGGCAAGACCGGUGCCAGCCGCCGCGGUAAUACCGGCAGCUCAAGUGAUGUCCCAUAUUAUUGGGCCUAAAGCGUCCGUAGCUGGCCGACCAAGUCUACCGGGAAAUCCACCCGCCCAACGGGUGGGCGUCCGGUAGAAACUGGCCGGCUUGGAACCGGAAGGCUCAGAGAGUACGUCCGGGGUAGGAGUGAAAUCCCGUAAUCCCGGACGGACUACCGAUGGCGAAAGCACUCUGAGAAGACGGCUUCGACAGUGAGGGGCGAAAGCUCGGGUCUCAAACCGGAUUAGAUACCCCGGUAGUC